Molecule: ribosomal RNA, 403 nt
Filed under: uncultured bacterium
Lineage: Bacteria
Description: partial 16S ribosomal RNA
Rfam family: Bacterial small subunit ribosomal RNA
Source: RNAcentral
AUUGAACGCUGGCGGCAGGCCUAACACAUGCAAGUCGAGCGAGCGGCGGACGGGUGAGUAAUGUAUGGGGACUGCACGAUAGAGGGGGGUAACUACUGGAAACGGUGGCUAAUACCGAAUACUGUCGGAUAACCCAUAUGGGAGUAGCUAGUAGGUAAGGUAAUGGCUUACCUAGGCGACGAUCCCUAGCUGGUCUGAGAGGAUGAUCAGCCACACUGGGACUGAGACACGGCCCAGACUCCUACGGAGGCAACAGUGGGGAAUAUUGCACAAUGGGCGAAAGCCUGAUGCAGCCAUGCCGCGUGUAUGAAGAAGGCCCUAGGGUUGUAAAGUACUUUCAGUCGGGAGGCGUUACCGACAGAAGAAGCACCGGCUAACUACGUGCCAGCAGCCGCGGUAAUUC